This 379-nucleotide RNase P RNA is filed under the name Rhodoferax sp. Its description in RNAcentral is "RNase P RNA component class A". It matches the Rfam family "Bacterial RNase P class A". From Rfam's summary of the family: Ribonuclease P (RNase P) is a ubiquitous endoribonuclease, found in archaea, bacteria and eukarya as well as chloroplasts and mitochondria. Its best characterised activity is the generation of mature 5'-ends of tRNAs by cleaving the 5'-leader elements of precursor-tRNAs. The record is from RNAcentral. RNAcentral also lists the same sequence under 1 other name. Lineage: Bacteria; Pseudomonadati; Pseudomonadota; Betaproteobacteria; Burkholderiales; Comamonadaceae.
GAAGCGCGCCAGGCCGUCGCUGGCACAGCCCGCAAGGGAACCCGAAAGGGAGUGCUGGAGGAACGUCCGGACUGCACAGGACAGCGUAGGAGGUAACACCUCUCCACCGACAAGCCGCAAGGCCCUAAGGUGAGGAUCAGAGCAACAGAGACGAGCCGCUUCAGUGCGGGUGAAACGGGCAAUCUCUACGCGCAGCAAUACCAAAUAGGCCAGCCUGAGGCGACACGGUUCGCCGUGUUGUUGAUCCUCGUGGUUCCGCGAGGAGAGCUGGCGGGUAGGUAGCACCGAGCCGGGUGGGUGACCCCCGGCCCAGAUGAAUGACGGUCACGUUCAGGGCAACCUGGGCGCACAAAAUCCGGCGUAUCGGCGCGCUUCACAC